Ceratitis capitata (Mediterranean fruit fly) is the source of this 739-nucleotide long non-coding RNA. RefSeq lists it as uncharacterized. The transcript is spliced from 2 exons. The record is from RefSeq and is a predicted model, not a curated record. Lineage: Eukaryota; Metazoa; Arthropoda; Insecta; Diptera; Tephritidae.
UAUAGACAAAAGUAAAACGUCAAAAAUUUAAGUAGAUUUAGCUGCGGUUGGGAAAUAUGUAACUGACGUAAUGUGGCUGAAAUAAAAAUCUUUUAGCGACAUCUGCCGAUAUAAAACUAAGCAGUUGCAUUGCUUCCACUUUUCGUGCGAGUAAAAACUUAUAAUAUUACUUCCCGCUACUGGAAGAGAAAUUGUGAUAUUUUUUAAAAAUAGUUGAUCCUUUAGUGCUUGUUAAUGUGCAAAGCUUUACAUAUGCGUGCGUGAAUUUAAUGUGAAUAGCUCAAGAAGUUAUUACAAUUUAUCAUGUAGAGAAAGUGCACUUCCGUUUCCUGAGAAAUUGGCGUUUUGUAAGCUAUUUUCGGCCGUCCUCCUCCUACAAUUUGUGGUAUAGUAUCUUGAUGGAUGUUUUUUCGACAAAUGGAGGGACCUAUAGUUAAUACUAAGCCGCCUCCGACCGACUGUGUUUUUUUAUUUAGAGCUUUAUUUAACUAAUAUUUUAUUGAUGACAAUUAUAAUGAUGAUGAUAUGGAGCUGGAGGGUGUCAUGCUACUUGUACAUCAUUAAAUUUAUGAAUUAACAUCAAAAACGGGAAUUAAAUGGAAGCGGCGGGAUUUUGAUGCACCAAAUUCUCAACAAGAAUAUUUUGGAGCUUCACAAAUACUGUGAACAAUUUUUUUAUGAUGAACUUUUUCAACAUUUGUAAGCUGUUCAAGAAAUAAACAUAAAUACAAAUAAAUAA